GUGCAAGUCCCGUGGCUGUAUUAUAGAGUGCUCAGCUCAGUGUUUCACAGUGGAGAAGAACGUACGUUGAUAUGCUUUCUGGGUUUGAGAGCUCUUCCUUCUUCAUCCAGAAGACAGAGCUGGGUAGAGAAAAGGAUAACCAGCAAGACAAAGGCUUUAUCCCAAUAUUAUAUGUUUAAAACUCAAAGAGAUAUGGUGAAAAUGGGACUUUAUUAAAUUUGCCUGAUUGGAAACAAACAUGCAAAUUGUACAAGAUUCCUAAAUGUGCCAAAAUGGCAAGGAGAGAGCCCUGACGAGCAUGGAGAAUA
RNAcentral lists this long non-coding RNA (308 nucleotides) under Homo sapiens (human). Its description in RNAcentral is "HSALNT0088424". Lineage: Eukaryota; Metazoa; Chordata; Mammalia; Primates; Hominidae. The record is from RNAcentral.